CUCAGGUUAAUUUAAAUUCUGAAUUGCCACAACAGCAACAAGCAAGAAGGGCACCAUUAAAUGAAUAUUAUACACAUAAAGCAACAACACAAUAAAAAACCAAAAUAUGAACACCAGCAACUAAAACAGGAACCAUUAAAUGAAUAUUACACACAGCAAUAACAGCAUCAAAUAAUGGAAAUAAUGGACCCUACUGCUCAAAUCAAAAACAAAAUUUCAUCAUUACCACUUUAUUGGUUAUAUCAAUAAAAGAAAUUAUUGAGUUUAUGAGUCUAGAUCCUACAAGCAAGCAGAUCUAUCACAUAAUUUAAAAUGAAGAUUUAUCUAUUAUAGUAAUUUAUUCUAAUAAU
This 350-nucleotide long non-coding RNA is filed under the name Sitophilus oryzae (rice weevil). Its description in RNAcentral is "uncharacterized LOC115887339, transcript variant X1". Lineage: Eukaryota; Metazoa; Arthropoda; Insecta; Coleoptera; Curculionidae. The record is from RNAcentral.